CCUACGGGAGGCAGCAGUAGGGAAUAUUGCUCAAUGGGGGAAACCCUGAAGCAGCAACGCCGCGUGGAGGAUGAAGGUUUUCGGAUUGUAAACUCCUUUUGUUAGAGAAGAUAAUGACGGUAUCUAACGAAUAAGCACCGGCUAACUCCGUGCCAGCAGCCGCGGUAAUACGGAGGGUGCAAGCGUUACUCGGAAUCACUGGGCGUAAAGAGCGCGGAGGCGGGAUAGCAAGUCAGAUGUGAAAUCCUAUGGCUUAACCAUAGAACUGCAUUUGAAACUGUUAUUCUAGAGUAUGGGAGAGGUAGGUGGAAUUCUUGGUGUAGGGGUAAAAUGCGUAGAGAUCAAGAGGAAUACUCAUUGCGAAGGCGACCUGCUAGAACAUAACUGACGCUGAGGCGCGAAAGCGUGGGGAGCAAACAGGAUUAGAUACCCGAGUAGUC
This 440-nucleotide ribosomal RNA is filed under the name uncultured bacterium. Its description in RNAcentral is "partial 16S ribosomal RNA". It matches the Rfam family "Bacterial small subunit ribosomal RNA", at positions 338 to 795 of the family's 1533-position model. The record is from RNAcentral.